Molecule: ribosomal RNA, 253 nt
Filed under: uncultured bacterium
Lineage: Bacteria
Description: partial 16S ribosomal RNA
Rfam family: Bacterial small subunit ribosomal RNA
Source: RNAcentral
UACAGAGGUCUCAAGCGUUGUUCGGAUUCAUUGGGCGUAAAGGGCGCGUAGGCGGCGCGACAAGUCAGGCGUGAAAGCCCCGGGCUCAACCCGGGAAUUGCGCUUGAUACUGUCGUGCUUGAGGCCGGGAGAGGAUGGCGGAAUUCCCAGUGUAGAGGUGAAAUUCGUAGAUAUUCGCAAGAACACCAGUGGCGAAGGCGGCUCACUGGCCCGGUACUGACGCUGAGGUGCGAAAGCGUGGGGAGCAAACAGG